UACGUAGGGACCAAGCGUUGUUCGGAAUCACUGGGCGUAAAGGGCGCGUAGGUGGCGCGACAAGUCAACGGUGAAAGCUCGGCGCUCAACGCCGAGUCGGCCGUCGAUACUGUUGGGCUGGAGCACUGUAGAGGCUCAUGGAAUUCCGGGUGUAGCGGUGGAAUGCGUAGAGAUCCGGAAGAACACCGGUGGCGAAGGCGGUGAGCUGGGCAGUUGCUGACACUGAUGCGCGACAGCGUGGGGAGCAAACAGG
RNAcentral lists this ribosomal RNA (253 nucleotides) under uncultured bacterium. RNAcentral describes it as "partial 16S ribosomal RNA". It matches the Rfam family "Bacterial small subunit ribosomal RNA", at positions 524 to 776 of the family's 1533-position model. The record is from RNAcentral.